GACGAACGCUGGCGGCGUGCUUAACACAUGCAAGUCGAACGCUGAAGCUUGGUGCUUGCACUGGGUGGAUGAGUGGCGAACGGGUGAGUAAUACGUGAGUAACCUGCCCUUGACUCUGGGAUAAGCCUGGGAAACUGGGUCCAAUACUGGAUACGACAUGUCACCGCAUGGUGGUGUGUGGAAAGGGUUUUACUGGUUUUGGAUGGGCUCACGGCCUAUCAGCUUGUUGGUGGGGUAAUGGCUCACCAAGGCGACGACGGGUAGCCGGCCUGAGAGGGUGACCGGACACAUUGGGACGGAGAUACGGACCAGACGCCUACGGGAGGAAGGAGUGGGGAAGAUUGCCCAAGGGGCGGAAGUCGGAUGCAGCAACGCCGCGUGAGGGAUGAAGGCCUUCGGGGUGGAAACCGGUUGCGCCUGGGACGAAGCGUGAGUGACGGUAAUGGGUAAAGAAGCACCGGCUAACUACGUG
RNAcentral lists this ribosomal RNA (472 nucleotides) under uncultured bacterium. RNAcentral's name for it is "partial 16S ribosomal RNA". It matches the Rfam family "Bacterial small subunit ribosomal RNA", at positions 28 to 507 of the family's 1533-position model. The record is from RNAcentral.